Molecule: non-coding RNA, 214 nt
Organism: Lonchura striata (white-rumped munia)
Lineage: Eukaryota; Metazoa; Chordata; Aves; Passeriformes; Estrildidae
Source: RefSeq, a predicted model, not a curated record
UCUACAUCCAAGGAAGGAGAGGAGCAGGAUUUGGACAGAAGAGAUAAGAAGGAACAAACAAACGCUUCCUGGCGAGAAGAAGAAGAGGAGGAGGCAGGAGGAGUUUGCUGGAGGUGUCUCCAGAAGAAAGGCAGCAUCUGCCCAGCUGUGCAGUCCCAGGAUUUAUAUGGAGCCCUUGGCAGCGUUGGAAAUCUUCCCUCAGCUUUGGGGCUCC